Molecule: long non-coding RNA, 2103 nt
Filed under: Homo sapiens (human)
Lineage: Eukaryota; Metazoa; Chordata; Mammalia; Primates; Hominidae
Description: long intergenic non-protein coding RNA 320
Source: RNAcentral
AAUCAUCUCCCAUUGAAAGCUGAAUCAUGAGGAUACCAUCUCCAAGCAGGUGGAGUAUUUGAUCCCUUUAGCAAGGCAGUGAUUUUGAAAUUCGGGUUUAGACAAAAAGAUAUUUCAAGCUCCUGAAGAACAAGUUUGAAGGAUUCAGAGCAGAGAAUUGCACCCUGGCAUGAUGCCUAUGCCAGCUGGACUGUGUGAUUUUUGUUCUUUAGUAGAAGGAUAACAUGACAUAGCAGGAAUAAUACUGCCUUUUCUUUCUGGCAUGGAUCAAGAGAAAAGAAAAUACAAGAAAACAGACAGAAGCAAGGCAAGGUACUUCUAUGGAAGGGUGAGCCCUCACAGAUGGAGCAAUGGGGCGCGCACACCUGAACAAGGGAGGGGAAGGAGUUCUUAUCCCUGAUGCAUGUGACCCCUGCUGCUGUGUCCUUCCCCUAUUGGCUAAGGUUAGACCACACAGCCUAAACUAAUUCCGAUUGGCUAAUUCAAAGAGAGCGACGGGGGCUUCUGACAGCUUUGGAGAUUGUGACAUUGGAAUAAAGGAAAAACGUACAGGACUCAUGAAGCGCUGAAAUGUUCACAAAUAUCAAGCAAAAGUCAAUGAAAUUUAUUUUGAGCUAUUUACAUCAUUUAAUAAUUGAGCAAGGUAUACUCCUAUGAACAAAAUUUGGAGCAUGUUUGUCUCUCUCUGCCUGGCGUCUUCAGAAUUUGGAAACUAGUUAGUCAUGGAAAUUUAUUUUGAGCUAUUUACAGCAUUUAAUAAUUGAGCAAGGUAUACUCCUAUGAACAAAAUUUGGAGCAUGUUUGUCUCUCUCUGUCUGCCUGGCAUCUACAGAAUUUGGAAACUAGUUUCGUUCCCAGAUUUCCUAAACUUUCCAGAGAAAAUGGUCUUCUCCCUGGCUCAGCAAGAAGAUGAACUUUAAACACUGAGAAACUGGUCAUCUCCCUGGCUCAACCAGAAGAUGAACUUUAAACACUACUCUCAAUGACUUGAUGUUCCCAUCACUACUCCUGUCAUAAAGGGAGGGGACUCAGAUAUUGAGAAUUUUAUGAUAGUGUGAACUGUCUGGUAUGUCAUUUAAGUAAGCCCGUUGCUGAAAUAUUUUCCAUGUUAUUAGAAAGAGCUGAAGAGAGGGAUUGAGAUGGCUUCUUUAUUUUUUGUCUUUUGGGAAUUAAAGGAACCUGGUUCAACAAGGGCCUACACCUAAGUCUCUUGUUGUACCAGAGUACAAUUUAGGACUGCUCCUGAGGAAGGAAUUAGCUAGAAAUCUAGAGAGUAAGGGUAACAGAUUUACAUAGAAUAACAGCCUCAGUAUUUUUGGUUCCUCUCCAGUAAAGAUCACAAAGAAUAUUGCUAAAUCGCUAAAACACCUUUGCAAUAACGUAAGGGCUUACAACUAUAUACCAAUGUAGCUCAGUUACUAAACUGGAGUAAACUAAUUUCUCUUGUGUAGAAAAAUUGGUUGGCUGUGGUUUUAUAGCAGAUCUGCAAUUAUUAAUAGUUAUGCCAAUAAUCGUUUAACAGUGCAUAUGUUAAUAUAUAUGGAAAGACAAUGUGUAUAGACAGAUGUGUAAAAUUGAAAAAUAAACAUAUAACAAGAGAGAAACAUCUAUCGAACAGACAAUAUACAUACACAUCAAACACAACAGCAGUUUUAGUGACCAUAAUAUUUAUUUCUCAUUUUUACAUUGCUUACUUUAGUGACAACUGAAAAUGACAGUUGGCAAUGCAGCUAACAGUUUCAAUAAAAGUAUAAAACAAAAGACUGUGUACAAAGCACCUGUCUUUCCGCUUUUGUAAUCUUCCGUUGGAAAAAAUUUACACACCUAAGUAACCAUCUGUUUUCUUCAAGAAAAAAUCAUUCUUAUUUCUCUCUCUCAUCUUGAAAACAGCUGUCAGCCAGGAGGGCAGAGCUGAAAUUUAUUGCCACAUCACAUGAAGCAUAGAACAGACUCCACUACUCCUUGAGAUUCAAAACUUUGCCUCUCACAAAGUUACCUUUUAUUUUCCUCUUGUUUGUCACUCAUCUCCCCUAGUGUGCUCUUUUUAUUUCUUUUACUAUUAAUAAUAAAAUCUGUGGAUGACUGUAUUAUUGAAUGAUUACC